AGAGUUUGAUCCUGGCUCAGGAUGAACGCUGGCGGCGUGCCUAAUACAUGCAAGUCGAGCGAGAAUGAAGCGAAUUGAGAUUCGUCGAUAUGAACUUCAGGAAAGCGGCGGACGGGUGAGUAACGCGUAGGCAACCUGCCCUUAGCAGAGGGAUAGCCAUUGGAAACGAUGAUUAAAACCUCAUAAUGCAUUUUCAUCACAUGACGGAGAUGCCAAAGAUUUAUCGGCUAAGGAUGGGCCUGCGUCUGAUUAACUAGUUGGUGAGGUAACGGCUCACCAAGGUGACGAUCAGUAGCCGACCUGAGAGGGUGAUCGGCCACAUUGGAACUGAGACACGGUCCAAACUUCUACGGAAGGCAGCAGUAAGGAAUCUUGCACAAUGGGGGAAACCCUGAUGCAGCAACGCCGCGUGAACGAUGAAGGCCUUCGGGUUGUAAAGUUCUGAUCUUAGGGAAGAAGAAGUGACGGUACCUAAGGAGAAAGCCCCGGCUAACUACGUGCCAGCAGCCGCGGUAAUACGUAGGGGGCAAGCGUUAUCCGGAAUUAUUGGGCGUAAAGAGUGCGUAGGUGGUUACCUAAGCGUAAGGUUUAAUCGAGAGGCUCAACCUCUUCUCGCCUUGCGAACUGGGCUACUUGAGUGCAGGAGGGGAAAGCGGAAUUCCUAGUGUAGCGGUGAAAUGCGUAGAUAUUAGGAAGAACACCGGUGGCGAAGGCGGCUUUCUGGACUGUAACUGACACUGAGGCACGAAAGCGUGGGGGAGCAAACAGGAUUAGAUACCCUGGUAGUCCACGCCGUAAACGAUGAGCACUAGUUGUUGGGUCCGAAUGGAUUCAGUGACGCAGUUAACGCAAUAAGUGCUCCGCCUGGGGAGUACGGUGGCAACACUAAAACUCAAAGGAAUUGACGGGGACCCGCACAAGCAGCGGAGCAUGUGGUUUAAUUCGAAGCAACGCGAAAAACCUUACCAGGGCUUGACAUCCCUCUGACCGGUCCUUAACCGGACCUUUCUUCGGACAGAGGAGACAGGUGGUGCAUGGUUGUCGUCAGCUCGUGUCGUGAGAUGUUGGGUUAAGUCCCGCAACGAGCGCAACCCUUGUCGUCAGUUACUAACAUUAAGUUGAGGACUCUGACGAGACUGCCGAGGUCAACUCGGAGGAAGGUGGGGAUGACGUCAAAUCAUCAUGCCCCUUAUGUUCUGGGCUACACACGUGCUACAAUGGUCGGUACAAUGAGAAGCAAGAUGGCGACAUGGAGCAAAUCACCAAAACCGAUCCCAGUUCGGAUUGCAGGCUGCAACUCGCCUGCAUGAAGUCGGAGUUGCUAGUAAUCGCGGAUCAGCAUGCCGCGGUGAAUGCGUUCCCGGGUCUUGUACACACCGCCCGUCACACCAUGGAAGUUGGGGGCGCCCAAAGUUGGACGAUCAAUAGUUUACCUAAGGCGAAACCAAUGACUGGGGUGAAGUCGUAACAAGGUAGCCGUUCGAGAACGAGCGGCUGGAUCACCUCCUUUCU
RNAcentral lists this ribosomal RNA (1512 nucleotides) under uncultured rumen bacterium 3C0d-10. RNAcentral describes it as "bacterial SSU rRNA". It matches the Rfam family "Bacterial small subunit ribosomal RNA". The record is from RNAcentral.